CACAAGCAAAUAAGACAACAAUGAAACCACUGGAAUCAAUCCAUAAACAGGCACUUAAAAUCAUUGAUAGAAAAUCACGACUAUAUCAUUACUGUAAAAUACUUGGCAAACAUAAAAUGCUGAGUUUUGAAAACCUGAUUAAAUUGUUUAA
This is a long non-coding RNA of Thalassophryne amazonica, 151 nucleotides long. RefSeq lists it as uncharacterized. The transcript is spliced from 3 exons. The record is from RefSeq and is a predicted model, not a curated record. NCBI's taxonomy places the organism in Eukaryota, Metazoa, Chordata, Actinopteri, Batrachoidiformes, Batrachoididae.